This 533-nucleotide ribosomal RNA is filed under the name Bifidobacterium animalis subsp. lactis. RNAcentral describes it as "bacterial SSU rRNA". It matches the Rfam family "Bacterial small subunit ribosomal RNA", at positions 164 to 699 of the family's 1533-position model. Lineage: Bacteria; Bacillati; Actinomycetota; Actinomycetes; Bifidobacteriales; Bifidobacteriaceae. The record is from RNAcentral.
UAAUACCGGAUGCUCCGCUCCAUCGCAUGGUGGGGUGGGAAAUGCUUUUGCGGCAUGGGAUGGGGUCGCGUCCUAUCAGCUUGUUGGCGGGGUGAUGGCCCACCAAGGCGUUGACGGGUAGCCGGCCUGAGAGGGUGACCGGCCACAUUGGGACUGAGAUACGGCCCAGACUCCUACGGGAGGCAGCAGUGGGGAAUAUUGCACAAUGGGCGCAAGCCUGAUGCAGCGACGCCGCGUGCGGGAUGGAGGCCUUCGGGUUGUAAACCGCUUUUGUUCAAGGGCAAGGCACGGUUUCGGCCGUGUUGAGUGGAUUGUUCGAAUAAGCACCGGCUAACUACGUGCCAGCAGCCGCGGUAAUACGUAGGGUGCGAGCGUUAUCCGGAUUUAUUGGGCGUAAAGGGCUCGUAGGCGGUUCGUCGCGUCCGGUGUGAAAGUCCAUCGCCUAACGGUGGAUCUGCGCCGGGUACGGGCGGGCUGGAGUGCGGUAGGGGAGACUGGAAUUCCCGGUGUAACGGUGGAAUGUGUAGAUAUCG